UGGGGAAUAUUGCACAAUGGAGGGAACUCUGAUGCAGCGACGCCGCGUGAACGAAGAAGGCUUUCGAGUCGUAAAGUUCUUUUAUAUGGGAAGAUAAUGACGGUACCAUAAGAAAAAGCCCCGGCUAACUACGUGCCAGCAGCCGCGGUAAUACGUAGGGGGCUAGCGUUGUCCGGAAUCACUGGGCGUAAAGGGUACGUAGGCGGUCUAUUAAGUCAGGUGUGAAAGCGUGAGGCUUAACCUCAUUAAGCACUUGAAACUGAUAGACUUGAGUGAAGGAGAGGAAAGUGGAAUUCCUAGUGUAGCGGUGAAAUGCGUAGAUAUUAGGAGGAAUACCGGUGGCGAAGGCGACUUUCUGGACUUUUACUGACGCUCAGGUACGAAAGCGUGGGGAGCAAACAGG
Molecule: ribosomal RNA, 403 nt
Filed under: Verrucomicrobiota bacterium
Lineage: Bacteria; Pseudomonadati; Verrucomicrobiota
Description: Verrucomicrobia bacterium partial 16S ribosomal RNA
Rfam family: Bacterial small subunit ribosomal RNA
Source: RNAcentral